This 427-nucleotide ribosomal RNA is filed under the name Xerocrassa mesostena. Its description in RNAcentral is "partial 16S ribosomal RNA". It matches the Rfam family "Bacterial large subunit ribosomal RNA", at positions 1831 to 2596 of the family's 2925-position model. The record is from RNAcentral. Lineage: Eukaryota; Metazoa; Mollusca; Gastropoda; Stylommatophora; Geomitridae.
AGCCAGGUGUCUUCACGCUUGGUUAUUUCUGCUCAAUGGUAAGCUAAAUAGCCGCAGUACCCUGACUGUGCAAAGGUAGCAUAAUCAUUUGGCUUAUAAUUGAAGUCUGGCAUGAAGGAAGUCAUGGGUAGCAACUGUCUUCUAUAAACUGUUAGAAAUUACUAAAUAGGUGAAAAUACCUAUAAAUUAAUAAUAGACGAGAAGACCCUAGAAAUUUUAAUAUAAAAGUAUUUUUAACUUACUAUUUUGUUGGGGCGACAGAAUAACAGUUGAACUUAUUUUAAUAUAUUUGUACUAAUUUUUGAGUAAAAUUAAAUUACUUUAGGGAUAACAGCAUAAUUUACUUAAGUUUGUGACCUCGAUGUUGGACUAGGGUUUUUAAUAAUCAGAAGUUAUUAAACUAGGCUCUGUUCGAGCCUCAUUUCCU